This 447-nucleotide ribosomal RNA is filed under the name uncultured bacterium. RNAcentral's name for it is "SSU rRNA". It matches the Rfam family "Bacterial small subunit ribosomal RNA", at positions 26 to 518 of the family's 1533-position model. The record is from RNAcentral.
AGAACGAACGCUGGCGGCAGGCCUCAAACAUGCAAGUCUAGGGGGUGUAGCAAUACAUCACCGGCGGACGGGUGCGUAACACGUGGGAAUAUACCUUUUGGUUCGGAACAACGCAGGGAAACUUGCGCUAAUACCGAAUGUGUCCUUACGGAGAAAGAUUUAUCGCCAAAGGAUUAGCCCGCGUCCGAUUAGCUAGUUGGUGAGGUAACGGCUCACCAAGGCUCCGAUCGGUAGCUGUUCUGAGAGGAAGAUCAGCCACACUGGGACUGAGACACGGCCCAGACUCCUACGGGAGGCAGCAGUUGGGAAUCUUGGACAAUGGGGGAAACCCUGAUCCAGCCAUGCCGCGUGAGUGAUGAAGGCCUUCGGGUUGUAAAACUCUUUCGACGGGGACGAUAAUGACGGUACCCGUAGAAGAAGCUCGGCUAACUUCGUGCCAGCAGCCGC